Molecule: small nuclear RNA, 116 nt
Organism: Cebus imitator (Panamanian white-faced capuchin)
Lineage: Eukaryota; Metazoa; Chordata; Mammalia; Primates; Cebidae
Product: U5 spliceosomal RNA
Exons: 1
Source: RefSeq, a predicted model, not a curated record
AUACUCUGGUUUCUCUUCAGAUCACAUAAAUUUUUCUCCUUUUACUAAAGAUUUCCAUGGAGAGAAUGGUGAAUAAUGUUUUAGUGCCAGACAAAACAGUAUUCAAUUUAAUACUC